RNAcentral lists this long non-coding RNA (1080 nucleotides) under Fukomys damarensis (Damara mole-rat). Its description in RNAcentral is "lncRNA (ENSFDAG00000032269.1)". The record is from RNAcentral. Lineage: Eukaryota; Metazoa; Chordata; Mammalia; Rodentia; Bathyergidae.
UGGGCUUAACCACAUCAGGACUCAGGGCUGCCGCUGACUUGAACUUGGGACACCCGCGGCGGUGCGGGCUGAGAAUGUGAGCAGCGUUAUACCCUGACCCGGAUGCCCCUAUCUUGCCUCUCCCUCUGUGGCUAAGAGAGCUCUUCUGCUACUUUCUCUGCAGUUGCCACUUCUUAAAUAAACUUGUGCUUUGCACCAUAUCUGUCUUGACUCCCUGCUUUCCUACUUCCUCAUUCUUCAUCAGAGUGAGGGCAGGAAUCCAAAAAGAGGCAGAGGCUCAUUUCUGGGGACCCCUACCCGACAGAUACCCCCUACCAGACAAAACAGUUCCUUCUUGAGACUCCAAGGGAGGAUCUAUUCCAUGUCAUCGUCCUGGCUUCGGGUGUUGACUGACAAUCUUUGGCAUUCUCUGGCUAAUGCCUACAUCCCUUCAAUGUGUGCCUAAAUGGUUGCAUGCCCUUCUCACCGCUGGAGUCUGUGUCCAAAUCUCCCUCAUCUCCCAAGGGCACUAUCCAGGGCUUAUGGCCUACCUUAGCCCACUAUGACCUCAUCUUGACUUCAUUACAUCUGCCAAGAGACUGUUUCCAAAUCAGUAAGGUCACGCCCAGCAGGUACCAGGGUUAGGACAUGAGAUGCAGAAAAGACACUCACCCACAUACGAGUCUCUGUGAGAUGAGCACAGGCUGGGCAGUGGUGCCAUCGUGGGCUCAGAGCCUGGGGCUGCCACUCAGCCCACCCUCUGCUUCCUCUGCCCAGCAAAGUUGGAAGGACGAUCCAUACUCCCAAGGGAGUCCUAAAGAUCGCCUCACAGAGGAAGGACUGCAGAGCACCAUGGAGCCUGGAGGAUGGCAGAAAUUCAGCAAAGAUGGCCCUGAACUGGCCCUCAGAGCUCAGCCAGUGAAAUUGGGGGAGUGACCUUCAGCGAAGCACCAAGGAAGUCAUCACUCAGGAAAACAGACAGGGAAGAGAUUCCAGAAAGGACAAUUUGCAUGUGCAAAGGCCCUGUGGCAAGAGGGUGCUUGGCAAAUGAGAAAGACCAAAGACAAGGUCUGUGUGUCUGGACUGGACAGAGGGAAGGGA